This 250-nucleotide long non-coding RNA is filed under the name Panax ginseng (ginseng). RNAcentral describes it as "long non-coding RNA (PGIN_LNC002915)". The record is from RNAcentral. Lineage: Eukaryota; Viridiplantae; Streptophyta; Magnoliopsida; Apiales; Araliaceae.
CCACUAACCUUGGUGAUAACCCCAAGGAAUGCAGUUUCGGCGAUAACCCCGGAACUGCUUGUUUCAAAUGCGACCAGCUUCAAUCUCGGCACUCACAACGAGAUACACUGUACCAACCCGGCAAUAACAUCGGGAAGACAAGCACACCUCAAAAGAUGACAAUGAGGACCUUCAACAAAUUGCAGCAGUCCAAUCUCAGCGAAGCCUAAGCAACGUCUUCUUUAUCAGCCUAAUCCGGCGAUAACACCGG